This 259-nucleotide ribosomal RNA is filed under the name uncultured bacterium. Its description in RNAcentral is "partial 16S ribosomal RNA". It matches the Rfam family "Bacterial small subunit ribosomal RNA", at positions 793 to 1055 of the family's 1533-position model. The record is from RNAcentral.
GUCCACGCCGUAAACGAUGGAUGCUCGGCGUCCGUGGGGAUACCCCGUGGGCGCCUCAGCUGACGCGGAAGCAUCCCGCCUGGGAACUACGAGCGCAAGCUUAAAACUCAAAGGAAUUGACGGGGCCCGCACAAGCAGCGGAGCGUGUGGUUUAAUUCGACGCAACACGCAGAACCUUACCCAGCCUGGACAUGGACCUGCACGCGCAAGAGAUUGCGCCGCCUUCGAGGGUGGUUCACAGAUGCUGCAUGGCUGUCGU